Molecule: ribosomal RNA, 432 nt
Filed under: uncultured bacterium
Lineage: Bacteria
Description: partial 16S ribosomal RNA
Rfam family: Bacterial small subunit ribosomal RNA
Source: RNAcentral
AGCGAACGCUGGCGGCAGGCCUAACACAUGCAAGUCGAACGAACUCUUCGGAGUUAGUGGCGGACGGGUGAGUAACACGUGGGAACGUGCCUUUUGGUUCGGAAUAACUCAGGGAAACUUGUGCUAAUACCGAAUGUGCCCUUCGGGGGAAAGAUUUAUCGCCAUUAGAGCGGCCCGCGUCUGAUUAGCUAGUUGGUGAGGUAACGGCUCACCAAGGCGACGAUCAGUAGCUGGUCUGAGAGGAUGACCAGCCACACUGGGACUGAGACACGGCCCAGACUCCUACGGGAGGCAGCAGUGGGGAAUCUUGCGCAAUGGGCGAAAGCCUGACGCAGCCAGGCCGCGUGAAUGAUGAAGGUCUUAGGAUUGUAAAAUUCUUUCACCGGGGACGAUAAUGACGGUACCCGGAGAAGAAGCCCCGGCUAACUUCGU